Molecule: ribosomal RNA, 422 nt
Filed under: uncultured prokaryote
Description: bacterial SSU rRNA
Rfam family: Bacterial small subunit ribosomal RNA
Source: RNAcentral
UAGGGAAUAUUGGACAAUGGAUGGAAAUCUGAUCCAGCCAUGCCGCGUGCAGGAAGACGGCCCUAUGGGUUGUAAACUGCUUUUGUAUGGGAGCAAUAAGGUCUAUGCGUAGACUGAUGAGAGUACCAUACGAAUAAGCAUCGGCUAACUCCGUGCCAGCAGCCGCGGUAAUACGGGGGAUGCAAGCGUUAUCCGGAUUUAUUGGGUUUAAAGGGUGCGUAGGCGGUUUGAUAAGUCAGCGGUGAAAUAUUUCAGCUUAACUGAAAGGGUGCCGUUGAUACUUUCAGGCUUGAAUAUGGUUGCUGUGGGUGGAAAGUGUGGUGUAGCGGUAAAAUGCUUAGAUAUCACACAGAAUAUCGAUUGCGAAGGCAGCGCACAAAGCCAUUAUUGACGCGGAUGCACGAAAGUGUGGUGAUCAAACA